This 520-nucleotide ribosomal RNA is filed under the name Serratia marcescens. RNAcentral describes it as "bacterial SSU rRNA". It matches the Rfam family "Bacterial small subunit ribosomal RNA", at positions 112 to 628 of the family's 1533-position model. The record is from RNAcentral. Lineage: Bacteria; Pseudomonadati; Pseudomonadota; Gammaproteobacteria; Enterobacterales; Yersiniaceae.
AAUGUCUGGGAAACUGCCUGAUGGAGGGGGAUAACUACUGGAAACGGUAGCUAAUACCGCAUAACGUCGCAAGACCAAAGAGGGGGACCUUCGGGCCUCUUGCCAUCAGAUGUGCCCAGAUGGGAUUAGCUAGUAGGUGGGGUAAUGGCUCACCUAGGCGACGAUCCCUAGCUGGUCUGAGAGGAUGACCAGCCACACUGGAACUGAGACACGGUCCAGACUCCUACGGGAGGCAGCAGUGGGGAAUAUUGCACAAUGGGCGCAAGCCUGAUGCAGCCAUGCCGCGUGUGUGAAGAAGGCCUUCGGGUUGUAAAGCACUUUCAGCGAGGAGGAAGGUGGUGAACUUAAUACGUUCAUCAAUUGACGUUACUCGCAGAAGAAGCACCGGCUAACUCCGUGCCAGCAGCCGCGGUAAUACGGAGGGUGCAAGCGUUAAUCGGAAUUACUGGGCGUAAAGCGCACGCAGGCGGUUUGUUAAGUCAGAUGUGAAAUCCCCGGGCUCAACCUGGGAACUGCAUUU